AGAGUUUGAUCCUGGCUCAGAGCGAACGCUGGCGGCAGGCUUAACACAUGCAAGUCGAACGGGCUUCUUCGGAAGUCAGUGGCAGACGGGUGAGUAACACGUGGGAACGUGCCCUUCGGUUCGGAAUAACUCAGGGAAACUUGAGCUAAUACCGGAUACGCCCUUAUGGGGAAAGGUUUACUGCCGAAGGAUCGGCCCGCGUCUGAUUAGCUUGUUGGUGGGGUAACGGCCUACCAAGGCGACGAUCAGUAGCUGGUCUGAGAGGAUGAUCAGCCACACUGGGACUGAGACACGGCCCAGACUCCUACGGGAGGCAGCAGUGGGGAAUAUUGGACAAUGGGCGCAAGCCUGAUCCAGCCAUGCCGCGUGAGUGAUGAAGGCCUUAGGGUUGUAAAGCUCUUUUGUCCGGGACGAUAAUGACGGUACCGGAAGAAUAAGCCCCGGCUAACUUCGUGCCAGCAGCCGCGGUAAUACGAAGGGGGCUAGCGUUGCUCGGAAUCACUGGGCGUAAAGGGCGCGUAGGCGGCCGAUUAAGUCGGGGGUGAAAGCCUGUGGCUCAACCACAGAAUUGCCUUCGAUACUGGUUGGCUUGAGACCGGAAGAGGACAGCGGAACUGCGAGUGUAGAGGUGAAAUUCGUAGAUAUUCGCAAGAACACCAGUGGCGAAGGCGGCUGUCUGGUCCGGUUCUGACGCUGAGGCGCGAAAGCGUAGGGAGCAAACAGGAUUAGAUACCCUGGUAGUCC
Molecule: ribosomal RNA, 744 nt
Filed under: uncultured bacterium
Lineage: Bacteria
Description: bacterial SSU rRNA
Rfam family: Bacterial small subunit ribosomal RNA
Source: RNAcentral